This 485-nucleotide ribosomal RNA is filed under the name Leptographium lundbergii. RNAcentral describes it as "SSU rRNA". It matches the Rfam family "Eukaryotic small subunit ribosomal RNA", at positions 405 to 895 of the family's 1831-position model. The record is from RNAcentral. Lineage: Eukaryota; Fungi; Ascomycota; Sordariomycetes; Ophiostomatales; Ophiostomataceae.
GGCUACUACAUCCAAGGAAGGCAGCAGGCGCGCAAAUUACCCAAUCCCGACUCGGGGAGGUAGUGACAAUAAAUACUGAUACAGGGCUCUUUUGGGUCUUGUAAUUGGAAUGAGUACAAUUUAAUUCCCUUAACGAGGAACAAUUGGAGGGCAAGUCUGGUGCCAGCAGCCGCGGUAAUUCCAGCUCCAAUAGCGUAUAUUAAAGUUGUUGCAGUUAAAAAGCUCGUAGUUGAACCUUGGGCCUGGCUGGCCGGUCCGCCUCACCGCGUGCACUGGUCCGGCCGGGCCUUUCCCUCUGGGGAGCCGCAUGCCCUUCACUGGGCGUGUCGGGGAACCAGGACUUUUACUUUGAAAAAAUUAGAGUGUUCAAAGCAGGCUUAUGCUCGGAUACAUUAGCAUGGAAUAAUAGAAUAGGACGUGCGGUUCUAUUUUGUUGGUUUCUAGGACCGCCGUAAUGAUUAAUAGGGACAGUCGGGGGCAUCAGU